ACUUGCAGGGCUAACCUAGUGCCUAUAGCUAAGGCAGGUACCUGCAUCCUUGUUUUUGUUUAGUGGAUCCUCUAUCCUUCAGAGACUCUGGAACCCCUGCGGUCUUCUCUUCAUCUAAUGACCCUGAGGGGAUGGAGUUUUCAAGUCCUUCCAGAGAGGAAUGUCCCAAGCCUUCGGGUAGGGUAAGCAUCAUGGCUGGCAGCCUCACAGGAUUGCUUCUACUUCAGGCAGUGUCGUGGGCAUCAGUAGAGACGGGGUUUCACCAUGCUGGCAAGGCAGGUCUCAAACUCCUCACCUCAGGUGAUUCGCCCACCUUGGCCUCCUGAAGUGCUAGGAUUACAGGUGUGAGCCCCUGCGCCCGGCCAAGGGGUGCCCGCCCCUGCAUCCCUAAAAGCUUCGGCUACAGCUCGGUGGUCUGUGUCUGCAAUGCCACAUACUGUGACUCCUUUGACCCCCCGACCUUUCCUGCCCUUGGUACCUUCAGCCG
RNAcentral lists this small RNA (487 nucleotides) under Pan troglodytes (chimpanzee). Its description in RNAcentral is "processed transcript". The record is from RNAcentral. Lineage: Eukaryota; Metazoa; Chordata; Mammalia; Primates; Hominidae.